This 357-nucleotide unclassified non-coding RNA is filed under the name uncultured bacterium. Its description in RNAcentral is "contains 16S-23S intergenic spacer region". The record is from RNAcentral.
UCCGGUUUGUCACCGGCAGUCUGAAUAGAAAAAUCCAACUAUUCAUAAGGGUUGCGCUCGUUGAUGGACUUAACCAAACAUCUCACGACACGAGCUGACGACGGCCAUGCAACACCUGUCACCUUGCUCAAUAAAGCACUCUCACCUUUCGGCAAAAUUCAAGGGAUGUCAAGCCCUGGUAAGGUUCUUCGUUUAUCAUCGAAUUGAAGAACACGCUCCACCGCUUGUGCGGGUCCCCGUCAAUUCCUUUAUGUUUUAAUCUUGCGAUCGUACUCCACAGGCGGGAUGCUUAACGCGUUAGCUUCGCUACUGAAGGGGUCGAUACCUCCAACAGCUAGCAUCCAUAGUUUACGGCGU